GGGAUAGCUCAGCAGUUAGAGCACAGACUACUCUUCCUGAGGACCUGGGUUCAAUUCCCAGAACCCA
RNAcentral lists this transfer RNA (67 nucleotides) under Cricetulus griseus (Chinese hamster). Lineage: Eukaryota; Metazoa; Chordata; Mammalia; Rodentia; Cricetidae. The record is from Rfam by way of RNAcentral.